RNAcentral lists this long non-coding RNA (922 nucleotides) under Homo sapiens (human). Its description in RNAcentral is "non-protein coding lnc-TMEM65-1:6". Lineage: Eukaryota; Metazoa; Chordata; Mammalia; Primates; Hominidae. The record is from RNAcentral.
CUCUUUCACAGGGGACUGGAUGGGGCCGUAACACAUCGAACAGCUGUACCUCCUCUGAAAAGCCAUUUCAGGUGAACCAAAGCAUUCUGCCCCUACGAGGAAGAAAGGGAGGCAGUGAGGAGAGAAUCAGGCCCAAAGAGCUGGGCCCAAGUGACAUUUAUAAAUAGGAACAUGGAAACUCACGGAAGAAGCCAAGCAAGGUAAAGGAGAGUGGGCAAGUCUCAGUGAGACCAUUUAAGACAUAAACAGCUAAGGAGAGUCUUUGAGGGCCAUUAUGUAACUGUUUUCCCGAACCCAGAUCAUAGGAGCAAUUUGUAGCUGGAAAGAGAAGCAUCGGAAGCUUUGGUGCUUACCUUUGUUCAUUCAUUUAUUCAGGCACUAUUCACAGCCUCGUGUGCCCCAGACUCUGCUAGCAUAGGAGAAAGGACCAUAACAAAGGCAUUGUCUCUGUUUCCAAGAUUCCAGAAAUGUAACCAGGGAGGAAGGCAUAUAAAUAGCUUGCAGAAGCAACUGUAAUUAUCACAGUGCCAUGGCAUCCACUGUUGUGUUAAAUCGGGUUUCUCUUGGUGGAUGUUCAUUGUGGUGUCUGCCUGGAACUUGUCCGCUUCUCGGUGGAAAUGCAGCCACCUUCUUUUAGGAGUAUUGUUCCUCAUCCCGUCCCCCUCUGAGUAAGCGCUGUCUGUCUGCACUCCUCUGACCCUAGUGAUAGUUAGGAGAAUGGCUAAUGACCACAGUCAGGGCAAUCAGAGUUCUUUCCUGGGAUUCCUGUAAAUGGACCUUGGGAAAGAAGAGCUUUUAUUUUUUUCUGUUUUUCUUGGAAAGUGAAGCUAUAAGGGAAGGCCAAGUGCUGUAGAGACCAGUCUCCUGCCUCAGAAAGAUCAGCAGUUGAGGCUGGGUGCGGUGGCUCAUGCCUGUAAUCCUA